UACGGGGGGGGCAAGCGUUGUUCGGAAUUACUGGGCGUAAAGGGCUUGUAGGUGGCCAACUAAGUCAGACGUGAAAUCCCUCGGCUUAACCGGGGAACUGCGUCCGAUACUGGAUGGCUUGGAUUUGGGAGAGGGAUGCGGAAUUCCAGGUGUAGCGGUGAAAUGCGUAGAUAUCUGGAGGAACACCGGUGGCGAAGGCGGCAUCCUGGACCAAUAUUGACGCUGAGGAGCGAAAGCCAGGGGAGCAAACGGG
RNAcentral lists this ribosomal RNA (253 nucleotides) under uncultured bacterium. RNAcentral's name for it is "partial 16S ribosomal RNA". It matches the Rfam family "Bacterial small subunit ribosomal RNA", at positions 524 to 776 of the family's 1533-position model. The record is from RNAcentral.